This 446-nucleotide ribosomal RNA is filed under the name uncultured bacterium. Its description in RNAcentral is "bacterial SSU rRNA". It matches the Rfam family "Bacterial small subunit ribosomal RNA", at positions 29 to 506 of the family's 1533-position model. The record is from RNAcentral.
GUGAACGCUAGCGGCACGCUUAACACAUGCAAGUCGAACGGGAUUAUAGUCUUCGGAUUGUAGUCUAGUGGCAAACGGGUGAGUAAUGUAUAGGAACUUACCUUAGAGUGGGGGAUAGCCUUUGGAAACGAAGAGUAAUACCGCAUAAUACCAUUUAUGGGAAAGUCGUAAGACGCUCUAUGAUAGGCCUAUAUCCGAUUAGCUAGUUGGUGAGGUAAUGGCUCACCAAGGCUUUGAUCGGUAGCCGAUCUGAGAGGAUGAUCGGCCACACCGGGACUGAGACACGGACCGGACUCCUACGGGAGGCAGCAGUGGGGAAUAUUGGACAAUGGGCGAAAGCCUGAUCCAGCGAUGCCGCGUGAGUGAUGAAGGCCUUCGGGUUGUAAAGCUCUUUUGUCAGGGAAGAUAAUGACGGUACCUGAAGAAUAAGUGCCGGCUAACUUCGU